CCUACGGGUGGCUGCAGUGGGGAAUAUUGGGCAAUGGGCGCAAGCCUGACCCAGCAACGCCGCGUGAAGGAAGAAGGCUUUCUGGUUGUAAAAUUCUUUUCUCAGGGACGAAGAAAGUGACGGUACCUGUGGAAUAAGCCACGGCUAACUACGUGCCAGCAGCCGCGGUAAUACGUAGGUGGCAAGCGUUAUCCGGAUUUAUUGGUUUUAAAGGGCGAGUAGGCGGGAGCGCAAGUCAGAUGUGAAAACUCAGGGCUCAAACCUGAGCCUGCAUUGGAAACUGUGUUUCUUGAGUGCUGGAGAGGCAAUCGGAAUUCCGGGUGGAGCGGUGAAAUGCGUAGAUAUACGGAGGAACACCAGUGGCGAAGGCGGAUUGCUGGACAGUAACUGACGCUGAGGCGCGAAAGCGUGGGGAGCAAACAGGAUUAGAUACCCUGGUAGUC
Molecule: ribosomal RNA, 443 nt
Filed under: uncultured bacterium
Lineage: Bacteria
Description: partial 16S ribosomal RNA
Rfam family: Bacterial small subunit ribosomal RNA
Source: RNAcentral